ACGGAGGGUGCAAGCGUUAAUCGGAAUUACUGGGCGUAAAGCGAGUGUAGGUGGUCGAGUAAGUCGGAUGUGAAAGCCCUGGGCUUAACCUGGGAAUUGCAUUCGAUACUGCUUGGCUAGAGUCUGAUAGAGGGAAGUGGAAUUCCAGGUGUAGCGGUGAAAUGCGUAGAUAUCUGGAGGAACAUCAGUGGCGAAGGCGGCUUCCUGGAUCAAGACUGACACUGAGGCUCGAAAGCGUGGGGAGCAAACAGGAUUAGAUACCCUGGUAGUCCACGCCCUAAACUAUGUCAACUAGACGUUGGGUUCUUUAAUGAACUUAGUGUCGAAGCUAACGCGUUAAGUUGACCGCCUGGGGAGUACGGCCGCAAGGUUG
This 373-nucleotide ribosomal RNA is filed under the name uncultured bacterium. Its description in RNAcentral is "bacterial SSU rRNA". It matches the Rfam family "Bacterial small subunit ribosomal RNA", at positions 525 to 896 of the family's 1533-position model. The record is from RNAcentral.